GWCGAACGAACUCUGGUAUUGAUUGGUGCUUGCAUCAUGAUUUACAUUUGAGUGAGUGGCGAACUGGUGAGUAACACGUGGGAAACCUGCCCAGAAGMGGGGGAUAACACCUGGAAACAGAUGCUAAUACCGCAUAACAACUUGGACCGCAUGGUCCGAGUUUGAAAGAUGGCUUCGGCUAUCACUUYUGGAUGGUCCCGCGGCGUAUUAGCUAGAUGGUGRGGUAACGGCUCACCAUGGCAAUGAUACGUAGCCGACCUGAGAGGGUAAUCGGCCACAUUGGGACUGAGACACGGCCCAAACUCCUACGGGAGGCAGCAGUAGGGAAUCUUCCACAAUGGACGAAAGUCUGAUGGAGCAACSCCGCGUGAGUGAAGAAGGGUUUCGGCUCGUAAAACUCUGUUGUUAAAGAAGAACAUAUCUGAGAGUAACUGUUCAGGUAUUGACGGUAUUUAACCAGAAAGCCACGGCUAACUACGUGCCAGCMGCCGCGGUAAUWCGGUCAUAGC
This 509-nucleotide ribosomal RNA is filed under the name Lactiplantibacillus plantarum. RNAcentral's name for it is "bacterial SSU rRNA". It matches the Rfam family "Bacterial small subunit ribosomal RNA", at positions 61 to 535 of the family's 1533-position model. Lineage: Bacteria; Bacillati; Bacillota; Bacilli; Lactobacillales; Lactobacillaceae. The record is from RNAcentral.